AUAAUUAAUUUUUUAGAAUGAAUAAUUAAUUAUCCUUCUUUAGAUCAUAGAUUUAAAGAAUUGGGUUUAAUUUUUAAAAAAAUUAUUUAAUUUAAUAUGGCAGACAAUUGCAAUAAAUUUAAGAUUUAUUUAUAAAGAUUAAUCUUUUAUUAAAA
Molecule: transfer RNA, 155 nt
Filed under: Aleurodicus dugesii (Doogie Howzer whitefly)
Lineage: Eukaryota; Metazoa; Arthropoda; Insecta; Hemiptera; Aleyrodidae
Description: tRNA-Leu
Source: RNAcentral